AGUGAACGCUGGCGGUAGGCCUAACACAUGCAAGUCGAACGGCAGCACCGUACGAGCUUGCUCUUACGGGUGGCGAGUGGCGGACGGGUGAGGUAUAUAUCGGAAUCUACUCUUUCGUGGGGGAUAACGUAGGGAAAGCUACGCUAAUACCGCAUCCGCCCCACGGGUGAAAGGAGGGGAUCUUUGCACCUUUCGCGAUUGAAUGCGCCGCUGAGGGACUAGCUGGUUGGGGGGGUAAAUGCCCACCAUGGCGGCGAUCCGUAGCUGGACUGUGAGGAGGGUCGGCCACAUGGGAACUGAGACACGCUCCAGACGCCUACGGGAGGGAGCAGUGGGGAAUAUUGGGCAAUAGGCGCGAACCUGGUCCAGCCAUACCGAGUGGGUGGAAAAAACCUUGCGUUUGUAAAGCCCUUUUGUUGGGAAAGAAAAGCAGCAGGUUGAUACCCCGCGUUUCUGACGGUACCCAAAAAAUAAGCACCGGCUAACUACGUG
Molecule: ribosomal RNA, 492 nt
Filed under: uncultured bacterium
Lineage: Bacteria
Description: partial 16S ribosomal RNA
Rfam family: Bacterial small subunit ribosomal RNA
Source: RNAcentral